UUGAACGCUGGCGGCAGGCCUAACACAUGCAAGUCGCGCGGAUGAAGGGAGCUUGCUCCUGGAUUCAGCGGCGGACGGGUGAGUAAUGCCUAGGAAUCUGCCUGGUAGUGGGGGAUAACGUCCGGAAACGGGCGCUAAUACCGCAUACGUCCUGAGGGAGAAAGUGGGGGAUCUUCGGACCUCACGCUAUCAGAUGAGCCUAGGUCGGAUUAGCUGGUUGGUGGGGUAAAGGCCUACCAAGGCGACGAUCCGUAACUGGUCUGAGAGGAUGAUCAGUCACACUGGAACUGAGACACGGUCCAGACUCCUACGGGAGGCAGCAGUGGGGAAUAUUGGACAAUGGGCGAAAGCCUGAUCCAGCCAUGCCGCGUGUGUGAAGAAGGUCUUCGGAUUGUAAAGCACUUUAAGUUGGGAGGAAGGGCAGUAAGUUAAUACCUUGCUGUUCUGACGUUACCAACAGAAUAAGCACCGGCUAACUUCGUG
RNAcentral lists this ribosomal RNA (483 nucleotides) under uncultured bacterium. RNAcentral's name for it is "partial 16S ribosomal RNA". It matches the Rfam family "Bacterial small subunit ribosomal RNA", at positions 30 to 507 of the family's 1533-position model. The record is from RNAcentral.